AUGGUGAUUUUUUUAAAGAUAGUUUUUGGGCCUGCUCUGAUUCUAUGUUAUUCUCUGGCGUUUUCUAGUGGGCGGACUUGGAGGCUGCUGGCCUGGGAAUGCCAGUGGGUCAGAGCGUGGCUACAGCACCGUGAAAUGGAGCACCUGCCCCCAGUCCUCUCAGCGUGUGCAGGCCUGGGCCUGUGUGGGGGAACCUGUGGCCCUGUCCUCUCUGCUGAGGCAAUCAAGGGUGGUGUCUGGGAGCACACCUGUCCCCUGGCACCUGCCAGGUGUCUGUCAGACCUCAGCCAUUACUGGGCUGCCUCAGCCCUGCACUCCCCCACUGCUGGAUGUGUGGCAGAUGAGGCACUUCACUUCAGUCUGUGUCUUGAGGCGGUGCCCAGGCCUUCCUGCUGCACCAAGGGAAAACCUGUAUUGAUCACAGCUGCACUAAUAACAGAGGAAGUCAUUCAGAAAAACAAGUGGCCAACAGGGGAAAGUUGUGGUUCCCUAAACAGAAGACUUCAUUCUGGAAAAACAGCCUUUACUCCAAGGAAUGCAGUCAUCUUACCUCAUUGGAGUUGUUAUAGAAAAACUCAUCCUCAUCACCAGAAUUCUCUCAAGGGGACCUGACUCCUGUCUUAUCACUUAUGUAAAAUCAAGAUCUUUUCUACUGAAGGUGAGUCAGUUAUGCUGUGUAGAAGAGGUGAAGGUAAGAAAAAAUGAUUGGUUAUUCUACUCUUGUUUGAUCGUGGCACAUUAUGUUGUGGGAGACAGUGGAGUUAUAAUUGUUUCUGAUCUGGUUUUAGAUGGAUAUUUGUCAACCAAUUAAAAACAAAUACUUGAUGUUCUGUACUAACUUAAGAAAUUGUGUAAUCCUUCCUGAAACAUCUACUUCUCUUCCUCCUUGAUAAUAUCACCUUCUAAUGUGAGUAAAAGCAGUAUUUACUUCCAUUCUUUAGUUCUGUUGAUUUGUUUGUCAACAAUCCAGCAAUAUGUUGCAUUUUCUACAUAUGUAUACCCUAAUAGAUGUGUCUCUAACCAAGCUGAAUGUAACUAGUUGACAUAAGUAAUUUUUUCUUCAUUAUAGCAAAUACUAAACUCUGAAAUCAGGUAGCUAUGCAUGGAGUGCUGCCAGACUUUCAUUACUGGAUACAUUGUUUUCUCAUCUUUUAUGCACAUUUGUAUAGUCUAUUUGGUUGAGUUGUGGAGUUGAACUGAGGAACUUGGUCUGUUUCCUUUCAUUGUGAUGAAGGGAUGAAACAACAUUAGUGGAAAUGAGCUGAAUAUUUGAAAAUCAUUC
Molecule: long non-coding RNA, 1282 nt
Filed under: Anser brachyrhynchus (Pink-footed goose)
Lineage: Eukaryota; Metazoa; Chordata; Aves; Anseriformes; Anatidae
Description: lncRNA (ENSABRG00000020046.1)
Source: RNAcentral